Molecule: ribosomal RNA, 154 nt
Filed under: Senecio saxatilis
Lineage: Eukaryota; Viridiplantae; Streptophyta; Magnoliopsida; Asterales; Asteraceae
Description: partial 5.8S ribosomal RNA
Rfam family: 5.8S ribosomal RNA
About the family: 5.8S ribosomal RNA (5.8S rRNA) is a component of the large subunit of the eukaryotic ribosome. It is transcribed by RNA polymerase I as part of the 45S precursor that also contains 18S and 28S rRNA. Functionally, it is thought that 5.8S rRNA may be involved in ribosome translocation.
Source: RNAcentral
UCGGCAACGGAUAUCUCGGCUCACGCAUCGAUGAAGAACGUAGCAAAAUGCGAUACUUGGUGUGAAUUGCAGAAUCCCGUGAACCAUCGAGUUUUUGAACGCAAGUUGCGCCCGAAGCCUUUUGGUCGAGGGCACGUCUGCCUGGGCGUCACAU